This 107-nucleotide Y RNA is filed under the name Carlito syrichta (Philippine tarsier). RNAcentral describes it as "Y RNA (ENSTSYG00000023340.2)". It matches the Rfam family "Y RNA", at positions 19 to 96 of the family's 96-position model. From Rfam's summary of the family: Y RNAs are components of the Ro ribonucleoprotein particle (Ro RNP), in association with Ro60 and La proteins. The record is from RNAcentral. Lineage: Eukaryota; Metazoa; Chordata; Mammalia; Primates; Tarsiidae.
GGGUGAUCCCAGAUGUAUUAGUUUGUGUUUACAACUAACUGACCACAACCAGUUACAUAUUUCUUUUUUCCUUUUCCAUGCCCACUGCUUUACUUGACUAACCUUUA